AAUUCCUUGUGAGACUAGAAAGUCUGCGGAGAAGAGCUUUAACAUCCACGGCCCUGGUGCAUUCCUUUAGAGGACUGGAAGUUCUCAUUCUACUUCACACUCCACACGUAGCAACAGAGAGACACACGCAGGUGAGGGCUCACACACCCAGCGUUCACACACGCUCUGCGUGGAGGGCUUCCUCAUCCUCUCCUGCCCUCAACACUGGAGUCCAGGAUUUCCCAGAGGAACAAAACAGGACCAGUCUGAGUGAUACAAGUUACCAUCUGUGUCAUCUCCUCACUGCAACACAGCUUUGUUCCCUUCUACCUCCUUUAUGCCGUCAUAGUCAGAUAUAUUACAUUAAUACAUGUAAUAAGCCCUGAAUCAUAUUUUGAAUAAAAGUUCUACACAAUAUGGUGAAGUGAUUAGUUACUGCAGCCCUGGGUUCCACGUAGAUGAAAAAGAAACACCCAAAUGAGACUUCUUUCCAGCAAGAUAUAACGAAGGCAAUUAAGGAACUUCAUGACUUUUUGAUCUCUUUGAAGGACUGACUAAGGCUGGGUCUAAAGAUCUCCAAUUCAUGAAAGAGUGCUUCACAUUUUUGAACAGGCCAGCAACGCCCUGAAACCAUUACAACCAAAGCUUCAAUGUCUGAUAUUCCUGUGGUUAUAGAGAUCCAGCUUGAGUGUUGUCAUUAGUUUUAUUAUAGAGUUCCUUCUUGCCUAUAUAAACAUUUCAAUAAAUGGGAGUUUAUGCAUAAAGACAUCUGCUAUUUGGAAAGCUGAGUAGUGAGUGACCGGUUUUUACAAUGAUUCGUAUUUCUGAAUUUUAAAAUUUGUUCAGCAUCCCAAGUCUGACAAGUUUAGGAGUGAAAUAAAAUGCAAGACUGACAA
Non-coding RNA from Leptonychotes weddellii (Weddell seal), 875 nucleotides. Lineage: Eukaryota; Metazoa; Chordata; Mammalia; Carnivora; Phocidae. The record is from RefSeq and is a predicted model, not a curated record.